AGAGUUUGAUUCUGGCUCAGGAUGAACGCUAGCUACAGGCUUAACACAUGCAAGUCGAGGGGUAGCAGGGUAGCAAUACCGCUGACGACCGGCGCACGGGUGAGUAACACGUAUCCAACCUUCCCAUAACUCAGGGAUAGCCUUUACGAAAGAAAGAUUAAUACCUGAUAGUACUUUUUCAAGGCAUCUUGAGAAAGUUAAAGAUUUAUUGGUUAUGGAUGGGGAUGCGUUCCAUUAGAUAGUUGGUGAGGUAACGGCUCACCAAGUCUUCGAUGGAUAGGGGUUCUGAGAGGAAGGUCCCCCACAUUGGUACUGAGACACGGACCAAACUCCUACGGGAGGCAGCAGUGAGGAAUAUUGGUCAAUGGGCGAGAGCCUGAACCAGCCAAGUAGCGUGAAGGAAUGAAGGUCCUAUGGAUUGUAAACUUCUUUUAUAGUAGAAUAAAGUGAUCCACGUGUGGAUUUUUGUAUGUAUACUAUGAAUAAGGAUCGGCUAACUCCGUGCCAGCCGCCGC
RNAcentral lists this ribosomal RNA (515 nucleotides) under uncultured bacterium. RNAcentral's name for it is "bacterial SSU rRNA". It matches the Rfam family "Bacterial small subunit ribosomal RNA", at positions 8 to 518 of the family's 1533-position model. The record is from RNAcentral.